CACUUUUUUUCAGCAAAUAUUAAAGAACCGACGUCAUAGGGUUGGAAUUUUUUGGAAGGGAUUUUGACACCACCUAUGGCGUCGGUUAUUUGGAAAUAACCGACGCCAUAGGGUGUCCCCCCUAUGGCGUCGGUUAUUUCUAAAAAAACCGACGCCUAAAGGGUUUAUAACCCUAGCCCAGCCCAUCAUCUUCCUCAUUCGACCAGCCAACCCAGAAACCCCCAAACCAGAGAACCCCAAACCCUCUCCGCCAACCACCACGAAAAACCACCCCCAUUUCACCAUUUUUUCACCAUUUUAGCUCAUUUUUGUUUCUAAAUCUUCUAUUUUUCAUACCUAAAACUAUAUACCUGAAAAGAUCACAUUUUUCCUCAUUUUUUAGGGUAAACCGAAGGUAGAGGUAGUGGUGGUGGUGGUUAUACCUCCGGCCACCGUUUUUAGUGGAGAAAACAUUGUAUUUCAACGUCUAUUAAGGUUGUGAGGUCAAUUUGCAAGGAUCUGACUUAUUUGGUAUUGAUCGGUUUCUAGUUAGCUCGAGGAUUUUAUCGGAAGUGACUUUAUCAGAAGACAAGUACAUAAUUUUUGGUAUAAGGUAUGCUUUCUUUAACCUACUUUUAUAAGAAUAUUUUUCAUAUAUAUUUAGAUAAUCUUUAAAUGCUUAAAGUAAUUUUAGAAUAAUAUUGAUGUAAUACAUAAG
Molecule: long non-coding RNA, 697 nt
Organism: Cannabis sativa
Lineage: Eukaryota; Viridiplantae; Streptophyta; Magnoliopsida; Rosales; Cannabaceae
Exons: 3
Source: RefSeq, a predicted model, not a curated record